CUCUCUCACCAUUGUCGUGUGGGUGUGUACACGUUUAAAUAUCUUGAUUGCAUACACACUCCUUAUUAGAUAACUAGCCCUCUCUCUCUCUUAAAGCCACUUCUUGCUCUUCAUAAGGAUUGUGGAGGCGGUGAUAUCACCAUUUUAAGGGGUGCAAAAGGAAUUGGUUCAUCAUAACGGCGGUAACGACGACGAGGAGCCAAGCGCAGAAAGAGAGAUUCCAACCACCACCUCCUCUGAGCAGAAAUCACAUCUCUAACCCUUUUCCCCUCGUGCCUGGGUCUCAUUUUAUUUUGAACAAAGAGUGUGAUAAUGCAUGCAUCGGGGUUCCUCAGCCUCGAUCUCUGUUUAAUAUGCAUUUGAUACCCGGUUGAGCUCUAUCUGUCGAUUAAAAUGUGAACAAACUGCGAGGCUGGAGAAGAGGAAGAGAAAGGGUUGCCAAAUCGUUGUGAGGAACCGAUUUCUCGGUCCUGCUGGGGAUUUAUGUAUGAGGAAGGGGAGUCUAUUAACUCGUAAAAUAGACCUUUUCCACACACCCUCAAUUUAGAGAGUGAUCUAUGAAACACUUUUUUCCCCUCGUCUCUCCUACCUACCUAAAUGUGCAUAUUUGUGUAAUAAAAUUCCUGAAAAAAAUCGGGUGGAUUUGAACAAAAAUUAUUCACAAAUUAAGAUAAUAAUCUAGAACUGCGUUUGAUCAUGCCAUCCACCUCUCUGAUUGCAUGUAAUCAGAAGAACAAUUGUUGUGCGGAUGAAAGAGUUUCACCUGGAGCAAGCAACAACCGGCCGAACCAACCACCUCACCAAAACUCACCAACAACUCUUUCUUCAGAGCUUGUUAAAAGAAAUGAUUUUUUCCCAUUGCAUCACGAAGGAAUAGGACAAAGUGUGGAGUUGGACGUGGAUAUUUUUUUGGGUAAAAGAGUUUGAAAAUGAAAGCAGAAUUGGAUUGGAUGUGUAUGUGCGGAUGGGAUUUCCUUCCAUCCCACCAAAACUCCGCCUCUUUACCUAAACUGCAGCUUUCCAACCCAAAAAUACUAUUCACACUUUGAAAUAAAUUUAGUUUUAAUGAUUUUCUUAUUUAUGUAGGAAAAAAGAAAUUUGUAAUUUUCCUACUUUUCUACCAAAACCAGAAAGUAUGAGUGAAAAAGAAAGGAAAAACUGCAUAAAAUUAGUAUUCACUUCAUGCCCAAGUGAUUUCCUGGCAGCAUCAUCAUAAUUUUUAUACGAAUGUUUAUAAUUACGGAAAGGGGAGUCGAAUCACGUAUCUCACCGACCAACCAACCAACCACACCUUGGUCUUAAUGUGCAUUGUCUUUUAUUUUUUGUAUUUUUUUCAUCGUUCAUUUUUUAAUGGAGAAUCCUCCUCGUUAUCAAAUUAACUGCACCAGAUGUACAGUGACCGUUGUGUUGUUUUAUAUUUCAAUCACGUAUAUCCUGAAGUGACGAUUUGGUAUAGUUUUAAAAUUUAUCAUUUGUGCAGAAACAUUACUCAAAAGUAUUAAUUUAUUAAAAAGAUAAAAAAAACGAGGCUGCUGAUACGACCGUUAAUUUGACUAAAUACACAGACAGAGAGGGAAAAAAUGAUGAUGAGUUUGACCUAAUUACGUCAAACUUAUUAUGGCUUUUGUUAUACUGGACAUCUGCAUCCACGCCACUCUCUCUCUCUCUCUCGCGUACAAUCAUAUUUUCUUUAACAAUUAUUGCAGAUGCACAAAAAUAAAGGAAAGAGGGAAGAGUAGAAAAAAUUUGAAUAUUGGACAUCAUGCUGUCCAUUUCUAAUAAAGGGCAUUAUCACUCCAUGUCCAUUUGGACGACGGUGCGAGCACAGAUGUCCAGGCUAAAAGGAGGGUGAAGGAGAAGAGAGAGAGGAUAUAUUUAUAUGCUAAUGAGCUCAAAUUGUAUAUCUUAACAGAGAAACUGGUUUUACUUGGAAUCGUUUUUAAUUAUUGUUGCGAAAAUGCAUCCUUUGUUCAACUGUUGUGCUAGCUGGAGGUUUUGUAAUGGGACUUUUAUUUGGUAAAUUUAGGAUAAAGUGGGUUUUUAUGGGAAAAUAAUAAAUUAAUAAGCAGUUUCCCCAUUCUCUGCAUAUCUCAAACUGAACAAUAAUGAUUUGCAAUUUGGGAUUAUUAACCAGACUGAUAAAGUUAGGAAAUAUCCAAAGAAAAAUAUGUAAUAAUGCGAGAAAUGUGUACACGAGUAAAUGUCAAUUUGUUGAAAUUUCUAAUUCAUAUGCAUGAUU
Molecule: long non-coding RNA, 2239 nt
Organism: Folsomia candida
Lineage: Eukaryota; Metazoa; Arthropoda; Collembola; Entomobryomorpha; Isotomidae
Exons: 3
Source: RefSeq, a predicted model, not a curated record